Molecule: ribosomal RNA, 1319 nt
Filed under: Thinobius sp. DDM1176
Lineage: Eukaryota; Metazoa; Arthropoda; Insecta; Coleoptera; Staphylinidae
Description: partial 28S ribosomal RNA
Rfam family: Eukaryotic large subunit ribosomal RNA
Source: RNAcentral
AGUAGCGGCGAGCGAACAGGGAAGAGCCCAGCACCGAAUCCCGCGUUCGAUUACGGGCGCAGGGAAAUGUGGUGUUUGGGAGGAUCCGUUAUCCCGAGGUUGUGCGGUGCGUCCAAGUCCUUCUUGAACGGGGCCAUUUACCCAUAGAGGGUGCCAGGCCCGUAGCGACCGCCGCCGAUCGCGGGAGGAUCUCUCCUUAGAGUCGGGUUGCUUGAGAGUGCAGCCCUAAGUGGGUGGUAAACUCCAUCUAAGGCUAAAUAUGACCACGAGACCGAUAGCGAACAAGUACCGUGAGGGAAAGUUGAAAAGAACUUUGAAGAGAGAGUUCAAUAGUACGUGAAACCGUUCAGGGGUAAACCUGAGAAACCCGAAAGAUCGAAUGGAGAGAUUCAGCGCGUUUCUCGGUUGACGAGUCGCGUAUGUGACGACUCGCAUCGCUUCGGCGGCGCUUGCGUCCGUCGCGUCCGUCAUCGGCCGGGAACGCGUGCACUUCUCUCCUAGUAGAACGUCGCGACCCGUUGGGUGUCGGUCUAAGGACCGCGGCGGAGACCGCGCGCAUUUUUCGCGAGAUGCGUGCGAACCCGCGGAUUCCCGACCGACUUGCCCGACGGUUUACCAUAUGGGCGCUGGGCCGCAAAAACGUUUGCGUCCGGUCCGUCACAAGCGCGUGUCGGCUGUAUUUGGGACGUCGGACUUCGUGUGCCGGCCCCGAACCCGCGCGGCUGUUGGUGGCGUGAUCCUCGGACAGUGCCUGUAAUUACGCGCGCCGGUCCGCGACGCUAUAGCUUUGGGUACUUUCAGGANNNNNNNNNNNNNNNNNNNNNNNNNNNNNAGCAUAUGCGCGAGUCAUUGGGACUGACAAAGCCUAAAGGCGAAAUGAAAGUAAAGGCAAACUUGAAAAGUUAGCCUAGGGAGGAUGGGUCGCGUCGAGGCGCGACCCCGCACUCCCGGGGCGUCUCGUUCUCAUUGCGAGUUGAGGCGCACCCAGAGCGUAUACGCUGCGACCCGAAAGAUGGUGAACUAUGCCUGAUCAGGACGAAGUCAGGGGAAACCCUGAUGGAGGUCCGGAGCGAUUCUGACGUGCAAAUCGAUCGUCGGAAUUGGGUAUAGCGGCGAAAGACCAAUCGAACCAUCUAGUAGCUGGUUCCCUCCGAAGUUUCCCUCAGGAUAGCUGGCGCUCGUUGUAUGCGAGUCUCAUCCGGUAAAGCGAAUGAUUAGAGGCAUUGGGGUCGAAACGGCCUCAACCUAUUCUCAAACUUUAAAUGGGUGAGAUCUCCGGCUUGCGCAAACGCUUGUGAAGCCGCGAGAUCGGAUCAGAG